Molecule: ribosomal RNA, 404 nt
Filed under: uncultured bacterium
Lineage: Bacteria
Also listed under: 1 other name
Description: bacterial SSU rRNA
Rfam family: Bacterial small subunit ribosomal RNA
Source: RNAcentral
UGGGGAAUAUUGGACAAUGGGCGAAAGCCUGAUCCAGCAAUGCCGCGUGAGUGAUGAAGGCCCUAGGGUUGUAAAGCUCUUUUACCCGGGAAGAUAAUGACUGUACCGGGAGAAUAAGCCCCGGCUAACUCCGUGCCAGCAGCCGCGGUAAUACGGAGGGGGCUAGCGUUGUUCGGAAUUACUGGGCGUAAAGCGCACGUAGGCGGCUUUGUAAGUUAGAGGUGAAAGCCCGGGGCUCAACCCCGGAAUAGCCUUUAAGACUGCAUCGCUUGAACACGGGAGAGGUGAGUGGAAUUCCGAGUGUAGAGGUGAAAUUCGUAGAUAUUCGGAAGAACACCAGUGGCGAAGGCGGCUCACUGGACCGUUGUUGACGCUGAGGUGCGAAAGCGUGGGGAGCAAACAGG